UGGAAGCUUGGCUCUGACUUGUAUAUACAACAAAGAUAAGGAAAUACACAUGGCACUUAUUUAGAAGAGGUGAGGAUAAACAAUAUUAGUACUUGUGUGAAAAACACAGGUAUUAAUAUUCCUAUUAGUAUUAUAAACUGUAUGAUGCUUUGCUAUGUCCCACUAACACCAGUGAUUGAUAUUAAAUUAAAGGCGAAAGCUUGACUUAGGUUAAUUUUUAAGGUCUGGUUAACUUGGUGCCAGCAUCCGCGGUUAUACCAAGAUGGCCAAGUUGUAUUAAAUACGGUAAAAAGACAGUUAAGUAUAUAAUAUUGUUAUUAGAUUUUUUGUUUAAGGGUGCAAUCUGAAUUCAAAUAAAGAUUUUUAAAAUAACAUAUAAACUGAGGCUGUGAAGAUCUAGAGGGAAACUAGGAUUAGAUACCCUAUUAUUCUUGAUAGUAAAUUGACACUAAGUAUCUACCAGAGUACUACGAAACAUAAUAAAAUUUAAAACUCAAAGGGCUUGGCGGUGCUUUAGACCACUUAGGGGAACCUGUCUCAUAAUCGACAAUCCACGUAAAACCUUACCUUAAUUUGCUUUCAGUAUGUAUACCGUCGUCGACAGGUAACUUUUAAGAAAUAAGAAGUUAGCAAAAUAAGAUUCUAAUAUAGUUUAUCUAUUACGUCAGAUCAUGGUGCAGCUCAUAUUAAGGAGAGGAUGGGUUACAAUUAAAAUUUAUAACUACGGAGAAAAAUAAGAAUCUUAUUUUUGGAAGGAGGACUUAAAAGUAAAUGUAAUUAAAUAAAUAUAUUGAAUAUGGCUCUGAAGCGUGCACACAUCGCCCGUCGCUCUCGUUGAAAAAUGAGAUAAGUCGUAACAUAGUAGGAGUAAUGGAAAUUGCUCCUUGCUGAAA
This 893-nucleotide non-coding RNA is filed under the name Tridentarius dentatus. RNAcentral's name for it is "12S ribosomal RNA". The stretch from base 129 to 893 matches the Rfam family "Microsporidia small subunit ribosomal RNA". The record is from RNAcentral. Lineage: Eukaryota; Metazoa; Mollusca; Gastropoda; Littorinimorpha; Strombidae.